GGGGCUGUAGCUCAGUUGGGAGAGCACCUGCCUUGCAAGCAGGGGGUCAAGGGUUCAAAUCCCUUUAGUUCCA
RNAcentral lists this transfer RNA (73 nucleotides) under Lachnospiraceae bacterium. Its description in RNAcentral is "tRNA-Ala". It matches the Rfam family "tRNA". Rfam says of the family: Transfer RNA (tRNA) molecules are approximately 80 nucleotides in length. Their secondary structure includes four short double-helical elements and three loops (D, anti-codon, and T loops). The record is from RNAcentral. Lineage: Bacteria; Bacillati; Bacillota; Clostridia; Lachnospirales; Lachnospiraceae.